UGAAGAAGGGUUUCGGCCCAAAACGUUACCUAUCUCCUUCGCUCCAUAGAUGCUGCUGCACCCGCUGAGUUUCUCCAGCAUUUUUGUGUACCUUUUAUGUGAUUUAAUUGCUUGUUUUAUUUCCUACCUACAAGUCAGUACACAGGAAUAGGAAACUCUUGGAUGAUGGACAUUUUCUUUUGGCUUACUUGUAAUCUGUCACUUUCAACUGGACAGUAUAUCUUCCUGUGGUGUGGAUCCAAGGAGUAAAUCCAGUAUGCCAAGUUAGCUAAAAUUGGAGCCUUUAAUUGCAACUUACCUGUGUCAAGCCUCUUUUUAAUAUAAAAUCUAUUGUCCUAUUAAAUGUUACAUACCCACUAAAAAUCAGUGAUUACUGCAUAUGUGGAGCCUAAUAACUGCCCAGUUUCAAUUUUCACGUUUGGAGAAUGUUAUGCAUUUUGGGUCCAAAGUGGAUGACUUUGCACUUCCCUUGCAUUAAAUCCUCUUCUAUUGUCUUUUUCUAUUUCAAUGUUUUUUCAAAUUUCAUCUAGAAAUGGGUGCAAAACAAUUGCAGACAUCUGUUUUAGAUGUAUUGAAUUAUGUUAGUGCAUGCAAUGUAUUUGUGAUGAGCAUUGUCUUUUUUUUUUUUAAUUCCUGGUUUGUCUUUAUUUUAAGGCUGUUUUCAAAGCGAAGGAAAGCAUGGUAUUUUUACUUAAGAUGUGUAUAUUCCCCAUCAUUGCACAAUGAAAAGUCUUGGCAUGUUAUAUCAGUCCUUGCUGGAAAGCAGUUCUUACUAAGGAAUGCUAAUUUCCUUAAAUUCGAUUUAUCCAUUUAGUCAUGUAAACCAACAAUUGGUAAUAUUACAACUAGUCUCACUUUUUUUAUAUUUGUACAAAUUGAGCAUAAAAUAGGCAAUUUCUAUUAUGGAAUUUAUUGAUCCCUCCAUUGCACAAUGAUCUAACAAAUGGAUAUGUGUUCAUUCCUCAUUCCAUGUGAGAAUGAUGUACUAAAUUUAAUUUUGAAAAUUUCAAGAAAUUAAUUGAGAUAUGGUAAGUUUUUUAUUUUUUGAAGAAUUUAUUCUGGUGGUUUAGUAUUGCCUUGCUGAUAUUAAGGAUAUAUAUAUAAUCAACCUAAAGUGGGAUUGGAGGUUUCGUAGGCAAGACUGGGUGGUGAUGGCUCGUUCCUUUACUUGGAAUCUUGACACAAAUACAAACCCAUUGUACCCGACAAUAUUAAGCAAAUUAGGCUUUUACAACAAACCAGCUUGUGUGAGCACACCCUUUUGCUGCUGGCUCACAAAUUGGCAAAUUAAUUUUCAUGACUAAUAGAAUUUAGUCCAACAAUUAAAAAUCAAGUACUAUAAUUGCUAGAUUAUAGCAAUCUGAUUAUUGCAUCUGAAAUAAUUUACUAAGAUUCUAUUUAUUAUUAAAAAAAAAGUUGCUGGUGGUGAUAUACUGAAAUUUUAGUGAUGAAUAUAGAUCUGUGAUGGGAAGCAGAGAAAAUUGGAGGCAAGACUUGGACUUGUAUUUCGAUUGCAGGAGGUUUCAGUCCUGGAAGAAUGCAACAGUGAGGUAGGUGAAGGAAAAGGGAAUGAAAUGGAUGCAUCCAAAUAUAUUUUAAAAAGAAAAGCAUCAUUCUUUUUUUUGAUUAAAUUUGACCAACCAAUAUAUUCUGUACCAGUUAAAACUGACUUGCAUUACUCUGCCUUUUGGCAUAAGGAAGCUGAAUUUGAAGAGCCGUGUUAAGCGCAGUGGGAAUGUGGAGGCUAUGGUAUUUAUUUUCAGAGUGACAUGACCUUUGGCAUUUUGAUCAGCAAUAAAAUAAAUCAUACUCUUUAACAGAUAACAAAUUGAGAUUUACUUUUGAAAUUGUUUUUCUGAAUCUUUUAGUUCCAUUGUGUGUAAUGGCAGUUAUGUAUUGCUUCCUUAGUAUGGAAAUAUUUUGCAUUGUUGGUCACUUGCAAUCAUUAAAGGAGUUAAUGAAAAGUUGUGGCAAAUAAUGCCCAAUAAUGAGAGCAAAAGGGAUAAAUUGAGUGUGUUUGUAAUUUCAUUGAACUGUAUCAUUGACAUUUCCAGUGAAAUAAAGUUUGACUUUUUCUUGGACAGUAUCUUUUAAGGUACCAAUUGUCCUUUCACUUAUAGGUUAAUUCCCCUCACUGAAUGCACAGCAAGAAAACACAAACAGGAGUUUGAAAGCUAUAAAGGAUGAUUGGGGAAAAAAAAAGGAAUAGGUGCAGGGCAAUAGGAAUCGUGUUAGCUUUCUGCAAAAAGUAUUAUAUCCUGUAUGAAAUUAAAAUAUUAAGAUUUAUUUGUUUUAGUCAAUAUGUAUUUGCAAGAGUUUUAACCUGUUUUUUACAUGGUGCAGGGAGAGAGAAAAUGACUUGCACCUAUUUAAAAAAAAAAAAACUAAAACCAAUUUGAACUUCAAUCAUGUGAUGGUGAUUUUGUGGUGAUAGUUUUAGAUUGAUUUUCAGUGUUUCAUGCAUGUGGGCACUUGUGAUUCUGGUUAGUAAUCCAGAGGUCUUGACUACUUCCCUGGAUGAUGGGGGGGGGAGAGAGACAAUAUGGGGCAAAGAGUGGACACAAGAGUAAAACUAGUUCCUGUCAAGUGACAAUGAAAUUACUAGAUUGGCAUGCAAACCAAUGAUCUUCAGAUAAGACAAUCUGUCCUAAACUGGUAUGAUAGUUGUGACUCCAGACCCAACAAAAGCAACUGAGCUUCCAGAUUCCUGGUACUAUAAAUCACACUGACACCCAUCUUUGGAUCUUGUGGUACUACAGCAGUAAAAUGGAGGAAACCCGCCUCUUCAUUCUGGAAUGAAUUCAAUAAUUUCAGAUCAUUCCACUUUUGCAUCUCUAACAAUCCACUAUUGCACCUCAAAUGUUCCACUAUUUUGUGUUCUCAAUAAUCUACUCGGCUCCAGAUAAAACAUCUUUUAAACACUCGCCUCUACCAUUCAUCACAACUUGUGGCAUUCCAAUUUCUUCUGACCUAUGAUGGACAUUCCCUUUAGUUCUUUAAGUCCCUUCUUCUGUCUGCAACUUAAAUUGUAUUUUGUUGACAUGACCAUCAGUUUUACCCUGUAACUUAUCCCGUCCCCCCCACCCCAUAUCCAUGAAAUCAUUUUGAAUUUCCUGCUUAUCAUAAAUGUCUACAGUAAGUUAGUCCUAUCAGUACCUUUCGUGAUGUCAGAACAAAAGGAAUGGUAUAAAACUUCAUGCCAUUGUAAGAAUGUUCAAAUUUUAAGAUUACAUUUGGGUACCUGAGGUGCUUUACAUUGCGACGACUAUCAUUACCAAGUUGCAAUGUUUCAGGUCAAUGAUCUAUCAAGUCUGUUUGGCUUUCAACAUUACCCAUGUGACUAAGUAUUGCAGCAUUUUUAUUCCUGACCCUGCAAGAUCAUUUGACUUUUAAUUAACUUGAAAUGCUCAGAUGGAUUUCUUUUUUGGAGUUGAUAAUACAUACAUUUGAAGGAUGAGGAUUAGGCAGUUGGUCAAAGGAUAGAAAAAGAAUGAAGUGCUGGAGUAACCCAGCAGGUCAGGCAGAAUCUCUGGAAAAUAUAGAUAGGUGAUGUUUCAGGUCUGGACCCUUCUUCAGAUGGUCUGCAAAGGGCCCCAAUCCUAAUUUUCACCUAUCUAUGUUCUCCAGAGAUGCUUCCAGCUAAGUUGUUCCAGCAUUUUGCAUUUUUCUUUGUAAACCAGCAUCUGCAGUUCCAUGUCUCUGAUGUCAAUGGGUGUUAAGGACUGGAUUUCACUGCUUGAUGGGUGUUGCAAGCAGUUCCGCUCAUUGCAACUUAAAUUUUAAUUGAUUAACAUUUUUGUGAGGGGGUAUGAUGGCUGUGGGGUAAAUUUACUUGGUUCUAGUUUUAUGCAUAAUGAAAAAAUUGGCUCAAUGUACUUGAUCGGAAGACUUGAAGUGCAUGCAAACCGCAGGAUCUACUGUGGUUUGCCGUUGUAAUUUUAACAUGCCAAAGGAUUGCUGAAUGUUUAUGUUUGAUUUUUUUUUUUUGGAUCCACAGCAACAUUAAUUCAAAGUUUUGGCGAUGCACUUGACACUGAACAUGUUGGAUGUAACCUAAAAUAAUCAGUAUGCAGUUCCACGUGCAUUAUGUGGAAUAAUCUUGAGAUUUAUAAGCUUAAGGCAGAAUAACUUUUUAUAAUAGCUUAAAUAAUUUUUGCAAUUGACAUUAAAUUAUCGCGUGUGCAGUUGUUGAAAACUAGUUUGUAACUUUUACCCCUCUUGAGUAGCAGUUCUUUGUCCACGUGGUUUCUUACCAGUUUCAAUGGUGAAUACAUUUUGAUUAACCUCGAGAAAAUACUUUACUGUUGGGAUAGCAAAUUGUAUCCUAAUACAAGAUAGGAAGUAUAAAAGAUAAAUGUGUACUGCCUAAUACUUGAAAAGUAUUAAUUUAAAUAUAAUUAAAUCCUAAUAGCUGUGUUGUAUAGGGUAGCCAAAUGGAUUUGUAAUCGUAAUUAACUAUUUUGCUUUGCAAUUUACAAAGUUCAAAUCUAAAUGUUCAUGUAAUAAUACAGCUUGAAAACAAGCAAUUGAAAUCCUGCAUCUGUUAAUUUAAUAUUUUGUUUUCCAAAUCUCAUGGACAUUUAAAUGUACCAUGUUAUACUGAGGGUGCAAUUACAAGCCUGCCAGAAGUUUAUUUUAAAAAGUUCCACUCGCUGCAGAAGUACUUUGGAAUUCUACCAAGAAAGCAACCAACCCCUUACUCUUUGGCAUUUGUUUUUGUAUUCCAUUCAAAUGUUUAAUUGCUCAUUGUUAGUCAUACCCAUGGACUUGGACACAGAUGAUUAUGGUUAUGGUAUUCAAGGAAAAUAUUCAGAUGCUUCAUGUAAAUCUGAAUCCUCAAAUUUAUGCACCAUACACAAUUUCUUCAAGUUCAGGAUCACUGUUAUUGUUUCUCAUAGGAUUGUACUUCCAUGUAUCUCAACUAGAAUGGUUGCAGACAUAACAGAUUUCAGAUGUGGGGCUCAAAUAGGGAGCCUUGGAGAACAGAACAUUUGGAAGACGUGCAUAUUAAAAAAAUUGCUUUUUUGUCAACCGAGAAACCCGUGGAGUGGAAACGCAUUAAAAGUAAUUAGUGAUUGGCUAGAGAUUCAGGGUUGACAUGAGGGCAGACUUACUACACAACUCGUUCUAAUCCAGAAUACGCUGCCUGAAAUUCAGGACAGAUUCAAUUAAGGUUUUCACAAGUUAAUGUGAUAAACAUUUGAAGGGGGAAAUGUUACAGGGCAAGGGGAUGGGACAUGCCUAGAUUGCUACUGUUGGUGAGAAUGGCAUGUUACAGUAUUACAAUUGUAUGAAUUCACAAAUCUCAGCAUCAUCUGAUCAAUGCAGGCUAAUGUGCAGAUAGUGUGCAACUAAUUUUGAUCAAUAAUAUGUCUUGAACAUUAAAAUGUAUUCCUGUCCCAUCCAUUCACCUACCAGUUUAUGAUCACUGCUUAAAACAUGGAAACAGCUUUAAUUUAAUCAAUCUGAGUUCCUAAUCAUUUAAAGUAAAGAUAAUGCAAACCA
Long non-coding RNA from Amblyraja radiata (thorny skate), 5505 nucleotides. RefSeq lists it as uncharacterized. The transcript is spliced from 2 exons. The record is from RefSeq and is a predicted model, not a curated record. NCBI's taxonomy places the organism in Eukaryota, Metazoa, Chordata, Chondrichthyes, Rajiformes, Rajidae.